UCUUUGGGUUACAAUUCUGGUUGGAAUUACGGAGGGGGAGAGGAUUUACCCUUAGAAGGUGGAUUUAUAAGUAAUUUUUUUAUAUUUUUAUUGAAUGAAAAAUGGAAUAACAUGUGUACAUAUUGCCCGUCGCUCUCGUUAUUUUGGGAUAAGUCGUAACAUAGUUGGUGAACUGGAAAGUUUAUCUUUUUGA
This 193-nucleotide ribosomal RNA is filed under the name Boraria stricta. Its description in RNAcentral is "partial small subunit ribosomal RNA". Lineage: Eukaryota; Metazoa; Arthropoda; Diplopoda; Polydesmida; Xystodesmidae. The record is from RNAcentral.